GACGAACGCUGGCGGCGUGCCUAAUACAUGCAAGUCGAACGAGAGCGCCCGGUGCUUGCACUGGUCAAUCUAGUGGCGAACGGGUGAGUAACACGUGGGUAACCUGCCCAUCAGAGGGGGAUAACAUCCGGAAACGGAUGCUAAAACCGCAUAGGUCUUCGAGCCGCAUGGCUUGAAGAGGAAAAGAGGCGCAAGCUUCUGCUGAUGGAUGGACCCGCGGUGCAUUAGCUAGUUGGUGAGGUAACGGCUCACCAAGGCCGUGAUGCAUAGCCGACCUGAGAGGGUGAUCGGCCACAUUGGGACUGAGACACGGCCCAAACUCCUACGGGAGGCAGCAGUAGGGAAUCUUCCGCAAUGGACGCAAGUCUGACGGAGCAACGCCGCGUGAGUGAAGAAGGUUUUCGGAUCGUAAAACUCUGUUGUUAGAGAAGAACAAGUGCUAGAGUAACUGUUAGCGCCUUGACGGUAGCUAAACAGAAAGCCACGGCUAACUACGUG
Molecule: ribosomal RNA, 498 nt
Filed under: uncultured bacterium
Lineage: Bacteria
Description: partial 16S ribosomal RNA
Rfam family: Bacterial small subunit ribosomal RNA
Source: RNAcentral